RNAcentral lists this ribosomal RNA (253 nucleotides) under uncultured bacterium. RNAcentral's name for it is "partial 16S ribosomal RNA". It matches the Rfam family "Bacterial small subunit ribosomal RNA", at positions 524 to 776 of the family's 1533-position model. The record is from RNAcentral.
UACGUAGGGUGCGAGCGUUGUCCGGAAUUAUUGGGCGUAAAGGGCUCGUAGGCGGUUUGUCGCGUCGGGAGUGAAAUCCACUGGCUUAACUGGUGGCUUGCUUUCGAUACGGGCAGACUAGAGUGUGGUAGGGGAGAUCGGAAUUCCUGGUGUAGCGGUGAAAUGCGCAGAUAUCAGGAGGAACACCGGUGGCGAAGGCGGAUCUCUGGGCCAUUACUGACGCUGAGGAGCGAAAGCGUGGGGAGCGAACAGG